RNAcentral lists this ribosomal RNA (253 nucleotides) under uncultured bacterium. Its description in RNAcentral is "partial 16S ribosomal RNA". It matches the Rfam family "Archaeal small subunit ribosomal RNA", at positions 474 to 727 of the family's 1478-position model. The record is from RNAcentral.
UACCAGCACCCCGAGUGGUCGGGACGAUUAUUGGGCCUAAAGCAUCCGUAGCCGGUCCUACAAGUCUUCCGUUAAAUCCACCUGCUUAACAGAUGGACUGCGGAAGAUACUAUAGGGCUAGGAGGCGGGAGAGGCAAGCGGUACUCAGUGGGUAGGGGUAAAAUCCUCUGAUCCAUUGAAGACCACCAGUGGCGAAGGCGGCUUGCCAGAACGCGCUCGACGGUGAGGGAUGAAAGCUGGGGGAGCAAACCGG